AUUCUAAACUAAAUUAGUAUUAUAUAUAGAGUUACUUUAGCAUGAAGUGCUUGAAAAUUUGGAAGAGUUCUGCUAUUUACCCCGGGUCAAACCCCGAAUUAAACCAAAACGACGCCGUUUUGGUUUUUUUUUUUUUUUCUUUUUGCUUCCAUGAAACGUAAUCGUUUUAGCCAAACAAAAACAAAUGUCUUUGUUUUCGUCUUCCUCUCCUCUUCGUUUCACCAGCCGUUUCAGUCAACCGAAAGCAAACAUUUAUGACGGCUGAAUGGAUUGGUCCCCUUUUAGAGUUGUUUGCACAUUUGGGUUUAUUACUUUGUUAGCUUGAGUUUAGUAGUUAAGGAAGGAUAUUAAUAAUUAAUGCUCUGCCGUUUGGUAUGGUUUCCUUUCUUUUUUUUUUUCAAGUCGCUAAAAGAGUUUUUUUUUUUUUAAAACUUCAAAUGCUCUGAUUCAGAACUAAACAAUUAUAAGCUCGAUUUGAAACAGUUCCAUUUGAUAAAGCAUACCAAACUGAGCCUAAGCAACCUGUAGAUUGCUCGAACAUCAUUGAAGGUGAGACACCAACGACUCGGCGUUUAUUGAAUCAUAAAGAACGAAUAAAAGCUGGCCAAAAAUAUUCUGAUGCAUUUUUCCUGUAGAUCACUUUUCACUCUUGUCUUAUUGGUAGAUUUGUAAUGAAGGUUUGUCCAUUUUUCCUGUAAAUUAGAAUAUUGGUUAAAAUUGAUUUUCUUUUAGCCAAAUUUAUAACUAGUUUUUAUCAUGGGCAAAAACAUUCUUAUCUUAUUUUGGAAUAAUGAAUCUUUAUAUCUUUUUUUUUUUUGGGGCUCUGCCGAAAUAUCGAAUAAUGAAUAUGAAAUUAUGAUAAAUACUAAAAAAUUAACAUUAUCACAUAAAUAAUGAAUCAUCUGUUGGUUCAUUUAUCUGAUGUUUCUUCGGCUAGUGAAACGAAGAGGAGAGGAAGACGAAAACAAAGACAUUUGCUUUUGUUUGGCUAAAACGACUACGUUUCAUAGAAGUAAAAAAAAAAAAAUCAAAAUAGUGUCGUUUUGGUUUAAUUCGGGGUUUGACCGGAAGAAAGUAACAUUUUUCAAUUUAAAAUUCCACACGUAGGAGAAUUUUUAGAAGACAAUUAUAUAAUUUAUAAUUACACAUUAAUCAUCGGGUUGUAGAGAUCACAAUUCAACAGGGUGAUUUCGAAUCUCUAUUUUUGGCACGCUGUAGAAUCAUACACGUUUGGAGACGAAGCCCCAAACCCACGGCCUCGCCCUCCUCUCCACUUUUCACAUAUAAAUAAUAAAUUAUACAAAUAGGGUAUGUAAUCGUAGCAUAGCUAGUGCCGAAGCACGUGAGCCGCACGCUGCCGUGAUCUUAUGAAUUCAAUGCCACCUCAGAUUACGCGCCUUAACCGCCGCAGUUGCCAGCACGUGAGUCCCCCGAGCGAGCUGACGCGGUAACCCAUUCAACCUUCUUUCACUUUUAACAGUGUCUCCUGCCCUUUUUAGACUCCCAGUCCCAGUCAGGCAGCUUAGUUGUUCACCACUAACAUAAUUUAACAAUUAUAUUUUAAAAAUAUUUCCAGAUUUCUUUUUAAAGUUACAUUUAGGAAUCAUUUAGGAUUACUUUUUAA
This 1624-nucleotide long non-coding RNA is filed under the name Citrus x clementina. RNAcentral describes it as "Citrus clementina (C. clementina) long non-coding RNA (CCLE_LNC003935)". The record is from RNAcentral. Lineage: Eukaryota; Viridiplantae; Streptophyta; Magnoliopsida; Sapindales; Rutaceae.